This 520-nucleotide ribosomal RNA is filed under the name uncultured Bifidobacterium sp. RNAcentral describes it as "bacterial SSU rRNA". It matches the Rfam family "Bacterial small subunit ribosomal RNA", at positions 158 to 687 of the family's 1533-position model. Lineage: Bacteria; Bacillati; Actinomycetota; Actinomycetes; Bifidobacteriales; Bifidobacteriaceae. The record is from RNAcentral.
GGGUGGUAAUGCCGGAUGCUCCGASWUGACCGCAUGCGUSCUCUGGGAAAGAUUCAUCRGUAUGGGAUGGGGUCGCGUCCUAUCAGCUUGAUGGCGGGGUAACGGCCCACCAUGGCUUCGACGGGUAGCCGGCCUGAGAGGGCGACCGGCCACAUUGGGACUGAGAUACGGCCCAGACUCCUACGGGAGGCAGCARUGGGGAAUAUUGCACAAUGGGCGCAAGCCUGAUGCAGCGACGCCGCGUGCGGGAUGACGGCCUUCGGGUUGUAAACCGCUUUUGACUGGGAGCAAGCCCUUCGGGGUGAGUGUACCUUUCGAAUAAGCACCGGCUAACUACGUGCCAGCAGCCGCGGUAAUACGUAGGGUGCAAGCGUUAUCCGGAAUUAUUGGGCGUAAAGGGCUCGUAGGCGGUUCGUCGCGUCCGGUGUGAAAGUCCAUCGCUUAACGGUGGAUCCGCGCCGGGUACSGGCGGGCUUGAGUGCGGUAGGGGAGACUGGAAUUCCCGGUGUAACGGUGGAAU